GACGAACGCUGGCGGCGUGCCUAAUACAUGCAAGUUGAGCGCUGAAGGUUGGUACUUGUACCAACUGGAUGAGCAGCGGACGGGUGAGUAACGCGUGGGGAAUCUGCCUUUGAGCGGGGGACAACAUUUGGAAACGAAUGCUAAUACCGCAUAAAAACUUUAAACACAAGUUUUAAGUUUGAAAGAUGCAAUUGCAUCACUCAAAGAUGAUCCCGCGUUGUAUUAGCUAGUUGGUGAGGUAAAGGCUCACCAAGGCGAUGAUACAUAGCCGACCUGAGAGGGUGAUCGGCCACAUUGGGACUGAGACACGGCCCAAACUCCUACGGGAGGCAGCAGUAGGGAAUCUUCGGCAAUGGACGAAAGUCUGACCGAGCAACGCCGCGUGAGUGAAGAAGGUUUUCGGAUCGUAAAACUCGGUUGGUAGAGAAGAACGUUGGUGAGAGUGGAAAGCUCAUCAAGUGACGGUAACUACCCAGAAAGGGACGGCUAACUACGUG
RNAcentral lists this ribosomal RNA (497 nucleotides) under uncultured bacterium. RNAcentral's name for it is "partial 16S ribosomal RNA". It matches the Rfam family "Bacterial small subunit ribosomal RNA", at positions 28 to 507 of the family's 1533-position model. The record is from RNAcentral.